RNAcentral lists this ribosomal RNA (459 nucleotides) under uncultured bacterium. Its description in RNAcentral is "partial 16S ribosomal RNA". It matches the Rfam family "Bacterial small subunit ribosomal RNA", at positions 338 to 795 of the family's 1533-position model. The record is from RNAcentral.
CCUACGGGUGGCUGCAGUGAGGAAUAUUGGUCAAUGGCCGGAAGGCUGAACCAGCCAAGCCGCGUGAAGGACGAAGGUGCCAAGCAUUGUAAACUUCUUUUGUCAAGGGACAAAAUCAGGCUCGAGAGCCUGACCGAGGGUACUUGAAUAAAAAGCAUCGGCUAACUCCGUGCCAGCAGCCGCGGUAAUACGGAGGAUGCAAGCGUUAUCCGGAUUUAUUGGGUGUAAGGGGUGCGUAGGAGGAAUAUCAAGUCCGCGGUAAAAAUCCGGGGUUCAACCCCGUCGUGCCGUUGAAACUGAUGUUCUUGAGUGGGCGAGAAGUAUGCGGAAUGCGGGGUGUAGCGGUGAAAUGCAUAGAUAUAACGCAGAACUCCGAUUGCGAAGGCAGCAUACCGGCGCCCAACUGACGCUGAAGCGCGAAAGCGUGGGUAGCGAACAGGAUUAGAUACCCGGGUAGUC